AAUGCAUGUGAUUCCAAUGGCAAUAUGAUGCUGCACUCUGGCGCUGUAUUACUAGGACAGCAGCGGAGAGGACAGAGAGGGGUGGUGGGCCGCAAAGCAACACAAUAUUUAUUUAUUUUAAAAUUCGUUGACGGAUACAAAUGUCUACAUUGAUUGAUGGAUUAUUAAUCGUGUAUCAUGCACCACAUUUGUAAGACUAUCGUUUAAAGGAUAUCGUUGUGCUGCCAGAGGAAAAAUCAUUUGCUGCUUGGAUGCUGAUAAUAUCAGCCCUGCGCUUGACCCAGUGAGCAGAGGAUGCUGCCGCCGCUGCUGCUGAACCGAUGCUGUCAUUACGCCCGGUGCUCUGACGACCAGGGAGGGCCAUCCCGACUGCCUUUCCCCGUUCACAGCCAUUUAACCUACAUAUUUUAACCUAUAUAUAUAUAUUUAUUUUUAAUUUUUAUGUAGUCUCGCUGUCUGUUCUUCGGUGGCAGACAGAACACCCGGGGAUUGCUUUAGAAAUAGGAAUACAGCCUUAACUGUGGCUCGGUCCCAUCGCCUAGGUUCUUAUUCCGUUGCGAUUGGGAGAUUCUGUCUCCCGUUCGGAUUUUUUUAAUGACUGGAUUUGUGUUUUGCUGCGCUAUGUACAUGGAUAAAACCAGUGUGCUCCGGGGCCCGUCCUCUUCCAGUCCUCGGCUGAUGACUAAGAGCCUGUCUCUGGAUCCUGGUGCUCACGGUGCCUGCCUCGGGGCCCAUGCCGAUGACUCAGACACCCAGACCCCUCGCCUCAGCUCAGACCCCGGAUCCCUAACCUCCGGGUCCCUUGGUCUGCACCCAUCCAUGCCCCUGCUGUACCCAGCUGGACACGGCUGUAACGGAGGAGACAACGGGAGUGGAACUCCUCAGGAAGUGCCCUCCACCGCCCUCAAGAGACGCCCUCCUCUACCUGGGCCUAAACCACAAGUGCCCCCAAAGCCUCCUCACCUGCAGCAGAGUGCUGGUGCUCCUAGGCCCUGCCCCCGCGUCCCGGACAAGCCCCUCCCACCUCCCCCACCCUGCAGACCUCUGCCUGCAGACCCCAGAGGGGGAGGACCCUGCCGACUGCCGACACUCCCCCGCGCCGAGGGAC
This is a long non-coding RNA of Oncorhynchus tshawytscha (Chinook salmon), 1108 nucleotides long. NCBI's taxonomy places the organism in Eukaryota, Metazoa, Chordata, Actinopteri, Salmoniformes, Salmonidae. The record is from Ensembl.